Calliphora vicina (urban bluebottle blowfly) is the source of this 663-nucleotide long non-coding RNA. RefSeq lists it as uncharacterized. The record is from RefSeq and is a predicted model, not a curated record. NCBI's taxonomy places the organism in Eukaryota, Metazoa, Arthropoda, Insecta, Diptera, Calliphoridae. The transcript has 6 exons.
ACAACGCCAUUAAAAACUAGCGAAUUUUCAAAGAAUCAUAUACAUCGAGUAAAAUCUAGCAUUUUAUUCUUUAUAAAAAAACUUUCCAAAGUGUCACACGUGGAAAAUGCUAAACUUAAAAUUUAAUAAAAUGCUUCUAACAAAAUGCAGCUAAAAGUGUUUAAAUAUUAAACACGUGUUUGUGCUGAAAAAAUUUGAUAAUCUAAAAUGGCGUCCUAAGAUGGAAAAAUAAGGAAAUGGCUUAUUUUGAUGUGAAAAAUAUGAUAAAAACUAAAAUGGCGUCCUAAGGAUAAAAUACAUUUAAGGAAAACUUUGAUGUUAAAAGGAACACUUCCAUAAAAUCUUAUUUGAGAUGUAGCCGUAAUAUAUUUAUGUGAAAAGGUAUUAAAAUGCUACUCACUGAAUAUUUGAGCUGAUUUCCAACUGUAUGGAGAAAAAUCUAGAAAUGGCAUUACAACAAGACUUACUUUAGAAUCAGGUCAUGGACGUACGAAAUUUAGCAACAGUUUAAUUACACAGGCUAUUUAUCAUUUAUCCAAUUGCAUCUGUGGAGUCUAUAAAAUCAUUUCCAUUAUGAAAAAGUGGAAGAAGUAACAAGGCGAAUUUAUACAAGUUUGUCUUGAUGUAAAGAAGAAUCUUAAAUAAAAAAAAUGUAAAAUGAAA